GACGUAGGGGGCCAGCGUUGCUCGGGAAUUACUGGGCGUAAAGGGUUCGUAGGCGGUGUGGCAAGUCGGGAGUGAAAUCUCCAGGCUCAACUUGGAGGCUGCUUCCGAAACUGCCGCGCUAGAGUGCGAGAGAGGCCAGUGGAAUUGCAGGUGUAGCGGUGAAAUGCGUAGAUAUCUGCAGGAACACCCGUGGCGAAGGCGGCUGGCCUGGAUCGCAACUGACGCUGAGGAACGAAAGCUAGGGGAGCAAACAGG
RNAcentral lists this ribosomal RNA (255 nucleotides) under uncultured bacterium. RNAcentral describes it as "partial 16S ribosomal RNA". It matches the Rfam family "Bacterial small subunit ribosomal RNA", at positions 524 to 776 of the family's 1533-position model. The record is from RNAcentral.